This 414-nucleotide ribosomal RNA is filed under the name uncultured microorganism. RNAcentral describes it as "bacterial SSU rRNA". It matches the Rfam family "Archaeal small subunit ribosomal RNA", at positions 330 to 745 of the family's 1478-position model. The record is from RNAcentral.
GUGCAGCAGUCGAGAAACCUCCGCAAUGCGGGAAACCGCGACGGGGGACCCCGAGUGCCGUGGCAACGCCACGGCUUUUCCGGAGUGUAAAAAGCUCCGGGAAUAAGGGCUGGGCAAGGCCGGUGGCAGCCGCCGCGGUAAUACCGGCGGCCCGAGUGGUGGCCGCUAUUAUUGGGCCUAAAGCGUCCGUAGCCGGGCCCGUAAGUCCCUGGCGAAAUCCCACGGCUCAACCGUGGGGCUUGCUGGGGAUACUGCGGGUCUUGGGACCGGGAGAGGCGGGGGGUACCCCUGGGGUAGGGGUGAAAUCCUAUAAUCCCAGGGGGACCGCCAGUGGCGAAGGCGCCCCGCUGGAACGGGUCCGACGGUGAGGGACGAAGGCCAGGGGAGCAAAACCGGAUUAGAUACCCCUGUAGU